AUGCAACGUGGUCCGGCUUCGGGUGGUAGACCACGGGAGGUAGACCACGCCCAUGCCAGAAGGGGCGUGGGGGGCCUGCACGCCUGCCUCGUCACGGCGGCAUUGCAAGACAAUCCGGCUGGGAGCACCACCCCGGCGCCUGUUCUGGGAGCACAGAUCACGAGCUCUGGAAGCGGGCCCUGUGUGAAGCACCGGCAGGUUCUGUGCUGCUGAAAUGUCACGUGCCGAUGCUUGAUAUUGACACGAAGGGCCUAACACAGCCGGGCUUGGUGGCCCAUCAGGAAAAAACGGGCCGCCCGUGGAGGAGGGGCCAUUCCCAGAUUCCAGAAGGAUGACUUCGGAGCAGGCCCUGGAGCCCGUGCCUACGGCCCAGACACGUUCUUGCCUUUUCUUCAAAUCGAGUUCUCUGUAUUUACCGACCAUCUUGUCCUUUUACAGCAGAGUAGUGUGAACUCCGUCUCCGAUGUUUGUCUUCUGUCUCGAAGCCAUGGUGGAUCGCCAGUUUCCUCUGAAGCAUGAGGGCCCUGGUGACCAGAGGACUCUUCCCUGAAGGCAUUCCUGCCCCGAUCCCCAGGGCACCCCUCAACUGUGUACUACGUCCUUGUUUACUGUGUAUCCUUGCCCGCGUAGAUGAUAAGAUGUAUGUGACUUAGUUUUGUUUGAAAUAAGAGACUCUGCGGCUGAAACUUUGGUCUCUAAGUGGGGGGCCGCUGCCGUCUGGAGCACGUGUAGACACCGUUCCUGCCGCUGCCGGGUGGGUUUUGCAGAGGCUCCCUUAGUGAUUUCACAUUUUGCAGGCAGCUUCCAUCUUCAGAAUUCCCUGGCAUUGAUUUCUGUUUUGAAUCAUACAGGAAACUUCCCAUUUCCUCGUUCAGCCCCACCCAGGUCAGGCAGAAGGGCAGCUUCAACGGCGGAUUUUAUGGACCACAUUAUCAGAGAUCAUUGUACAAGCCGAAUGGUGUAAUAAUGAAUAGUUCAGAGAAAAAUCUGGGUGUAAAGAGUCAAUAUGCCCUUGCUCUUUCUACCACUGUGUGCUCCCGGUUGGAAAAAAACCAAACAUGCAAGAUGGGCUGCUCUUCAGACGGGCCGUGCCUGCCUGUGCCGCGCAGCCCGGGCAGCUCACCGCAUGCCUGCUGUCCAGGAGGCUGUGGCUGCCACGGGGGCUCUGGAAUUGUGCCCCUCACAGAGGUUCCCCGAAAGGUUCUUCUAAGCCUUUAUUGUCCCUGGGAAAUGUUUCUUAGCCAGGUGUGGUGGCUCACGCCUGUAAUCCCAGCUACUUGGGAGGCUGAGGCAGGAGAAUUGCUGGAACCCAGGAGGUGGAGGCUGCAGCGAGCUAAGGUUGCACCACUGCACUCCAGACUGGGCAGUAGAGCGAGACUCCGUUUCAAAAAAAAAAGUUUCCUAUACAUUGGCCUGCCCUAAAACGCACUACCAAUUUUAGCAAAACAGUCCAGGCCAAAGAGGAAGUGUUUUAUGUUGAAUAAGAAAUCCAGCCAGUCCACACGGCCAGCUCCUGAGUGGCUUUGGUGAUAUUCGCCAGCCACCUGCUGACAUUCAGAAUCUCAGAUUUCGGCACUGCUGUUGAGGCAAUGUGUGUCUGACACCCGCCGAGAGCCCCUGGCUGUCUGUGCACAGGAUGGGGGUCACUGCCCGGACAUUCCCGCUUGCUAGGCUCUGAUUUCUGGGGAGCCUUUUAGAGGCAGCAGACAUACAGCACCUGUUCUCUGGUGUUUUAAGGGGAAAAAAAAAAUCCGAAGUGCUGGUUAGCUAGUGACAACUUAGGAUUGCUUAGAAAGGUUAGUUUUAGCUUCCUUUGUGGCUCCCUGGUGCAAAACAAUUAGCAGCAAUGCAGUGGACCUGAUUCUAGUGUGUUCCAGUGUAAGUGAAUAGGGCAGCACUUGCGUCUGACGGCACCUUGAACACCUGAACACCUGUGUAAUGGGGAAAGACUGCGUGAAAGGAUGGCCUCAUUCUUCUUCUAAUCUUGCUGGUUUCAAGAUUAGAAAGCGACAUUAUUUGAUCUGAUAGGUGUGAGAAGACAAAAAUAAAGUUACCUGGGUAGACUCA
Non-coding RNA from Callithrix jacchus (white-tufted-ear marmoset), 2067 nucleotides. Lineage: Eukaryota; Metazoa; Chordata; Mammalia; Primates; Cebidae. The record is from RefSeq and is a predicted model, not a curated record.